Molecule: long non-coding RNA, 224 nt
Filed under: Capsicum annuum
Lineage: Eukaryota; Viridiplantae; Streptophyta; Magnoliopsida; Solanales; Solanaceae
Description: long non-coding RNA (CANN_LNC012398)
Source: RNAcentral
UUUACAAAAAUUAUAAACCUAGGAACUAAAAAGUCAAUAAAAGGGGCUAUAUAGGCCUAACCUAUUUUCCUACAUCUACGUAAAAGUCUUAAUAAUUCAAUCAAUGUACAAUAAUUCAAUCAAGACUUUUGUACAAUAAUUCAGACUUUGUACAGUAUCUUGUCUCCGUUGAUUUUGUCGUAUCUGCUCCAUUAUUGCUCCUUAUUUUAUCUUUCCAGCUGACA